UGGGGGAUAUUGCACAAUGGGCGAAAGCCUGAUGCAGCGACGCCGCGUGGGGGAUGAAGGCCUUCGGGUUGUAAACUUCUUUUGCUCUGAACAAGGCAUGCCUUUGGGGUGUGUUGAGUGUAGGGGUUGAUUAGCGCCGGCUAACUACGUGCCAGCAGCCGCGGUAAUACGUCGGGCGCGAGCGUUGUCCGGAAUUAUUGGGCGUAAAGGGCUUGUAGGUGGCUGGUUGCGUCUGUCGUGAAAGCUCAUGGCUUAACUGUGGGUUUGCGGUGGGUACGGGCUGGCUUGAGUGCAGUAGGGGAGGCUGGAAUUCCUGGUGUAGCGGUGGAAUGCGCAGAUAUCAGGAGGAAUACCGGUGGCGAAGGCGGGUCUCUGGGCUGUUACUGACGCUGAGGAGCGAAAGCGUGGGGAGCGAACAGG
This 420-nucleotide ribosomal RNA is filed under the name Fusobacteriota bacterium. RNAcentral's name for it is "Fusobacteria bacterium partial 16S ribosomal RNA". It matches the Rfam family "Bacterial small subunit ribosomal RNA", at positions 355 to 776 of the family's 1533-position model. The record is from RNAcentral. Lineage: Bacteria; Fusobacteriati; Fusobacteriota.